GAUGAACGCUGGCGGUGUGCCUAAUACAUGCAAGUCGAGCGAACGGACGAUAAGCUUGCUUCUCUGAUGUUAGCGGCGGACGGGUGAGUAACACGUGGAUAACCUACCUAUAAGACUGGGAUAACUUCGUGAAACCGGAUCUAAUACCGCAUGAUAUUUUGAACCGCAUGGUUCAAAAGUGAAAGACGGUCUUGCUGUCACUUAUAGAUGGAUCCGCGCUGCAUUAGCUAGUUGGUAAGGUAACGGCUUACCAAGGCAACGAUGCAUAGCCGACCUGAGAGGAUGAUCGGCCACACUGGAACUGAGACACGGUCCAGACUCCUACGGGAGGCAGCAGUAGGGAAUCUUGCGCAAUGGGCGAAAGCCUGACGGAGCAACGCCGCGUGAGUGAUGAAGGUCUUCGGAUCGUAAAACUCUGUUAUUAGGGAAGAACAUAUGUGUAAGUAAAUGUGCACAUCUUGACGGUACCUAAUCAGAAAGCCACGGCUAACUACGUG
RNAcentral lists this ribosomal RNA (497 nucleotides) under uncultured bacterium. RNAcentral describes it as "partial 16S ribosomal RNA". It matches the Rfam family "Bacterial small subunit ribosomal RNA", at positions 28 to 507 of the family's 1533-position model. The record is from RNAcentral.